This 129-nucleotide small nucleolar RNA is filed under the name Dasypus novemcinctus (nine-banded armadillo). RNAcentral describes it as "Small nucleolar RNA SNORA31 (ENSDNOG00000032463.1)". It matches the Rfam family "Small nucleolar RNA SNORA31". Rfam says of the family: ACA31 (SNORA31) belongs to the H/ACA class of snoRNAs which are thought to guide the sites of modification of uridines to pseudouridines. The record is from RNAcentral. Lineage: Eukaryota; Metazoa; Chordata; Mammalia; Cingulata; Dasypodidae.
AAGCAUCUCUGACAGACCUGGAGCAAUUAAUGUCUGCUGCUAAGGUUUCCACUAUAGAUGCAAGGAAAAGAAGUCCUUGCACUUUCUAUCUGUCUGGUUGUGGCAGCCAAGUUUGAAUGGGAAACAUGG